UGAGUGGCGAACGGUGAGUAACACGUGAGUAACCUGCCCUCUUCUUUGGGAUAACGCCCGGAAACGGGUGCUAAUACUGGAUAUUCACUGGCCUUCGCAUGGGGGUUGGUGGAAAGGUUUGUUCUGGUGGGGGAUGGGCUCGCGGCCUAUCAGCUUGUUGGUGGGGUGAUGGCCUACCAAGGCUUUGACGGGUAGCCGGCCUGAGAGGGUGACCGGUCACAUUGGGACUGAGAUACGGCCCAG
Molecule: ribosomal RNA, 243 nt
Filed under: uncultured bacterium
Lineage: Bacteria
Description: partial 16S ribosomal RNA
Rfam family: Bacterial small subunit ribosomal RNA
Source: RNAcentral